GAGAGGAACCGCAGGUUCGGACAAAUGGUACAUGUGCCUGCUCGACCGAGCAAUGGCACGACGCUAUCGUCCGAGGGAUUAUGACUGAACGCCUCUA
This 97-nucleotide small RNA is filed under the name Tetranychus urticae (two-spotted spider mite). RNAcentral describes it as "sRNA tetur06g06539". It matches the Rfam family "Eukaryotic large subunit ribosomal RNA", at positions 3036 to 3132 of the family's 3401-position model. The record is from RNAcentral. Lineage: Eukaryota; Metazoa; Arthropoda; Arachnida; Trombidiformes; Tetranychidae.